RNAcentral lists this ribosomal RNA (729 nucleotides) under Triticum aestivum (bread wheat). RNAcentral's name for it is "partial small subunit ribosomal RNA". The record is from RNAcentral. Lineage: Eukaryota; Viridiplantae; Streptophyta; Magnoliopsida; Poales; Poaceae.
AUGGUGAGGGCUCCUUGCUGCGAGAAGACAGGGCUCAAGAGGGGCCCGUGGACGGUGGAGGAGGACAUGACCCUGGUGGCUCACAUCGAGCAGCACGGGCACAGCAACUGGGGGGCGCUGCCGAAGCAGGCCGGCCUGCUGCGCUGCGCCAAGAGCUGCCGCCUCCGGUGGAUCAACUACCUGUGCCCCGACAUCAAGCGCGGCAACUUCACCAGCGAGGAGGAAGACGCUAUCAUCCAGCUCCACGCCAUGCUCGGCAACAGAUGGUCCACCAUUGCCGCCAGGCUGCCAGGGAGGACGGACAACGAGAUCAAGAACGUCUGGCACACACACCUCAAGAAGCGACUCGACUCGUCCUUGUCCAAGACGUCCGGCCAGGCAGCGCCUAAGCGCAAAGCCAAGAAGCCUGAUGUAGCUGCGAGCACGCUCGAGGAUCCGACCUCCGACCCGGUGUCGCCGGAGCAGUCCCUAUCGACGUCAUCUGCCACCGACUACUCGAUGGCCUCGUCGUUGGAGAACACGGGCUCUUCCUCGGACGAGUUCCAGAUCGACGACAGCUUCUGGUCGGAGACACUUGCGAUGUCGGUGGACUGCUCCGGUUCCGGGAUGGAAACCAGCGACACCGUCGCCGCAGAUAGUGCAUCGCCAUCGUCAAGCAACGAUGAGAUGGACUUCUGGGUCACGCUGUUCAUGCAGGAUGGUGACAUGCAUAGUUUGUCACAAAUUUAA